Non-coding RNA from Coturnix japonica (Japanese quail), 408 nucleotides. NCBI's taxonomy places the organism in Eukaryota, Metazoa, Chordata, Aves, Galliformes, Phasianidae. The record is from the annotation of a RefSeq genome assembly.
AUGACGUUGGACGAGUCUGGCGGCGGCCUCUACGUGCCUGGAGGAGGCCUCAGCCUCGUCUGCAAGGCCUCAGGGUUCACCUUCAGCAGCUUUGAGAUGUACUGGGUGCGACAGGCACCAGGAAAGGGGCUUGAAUGGGUCGCUGGUAUUAACAAAGCUGGUAGUUGGACAGGCUACGCGCCAGCGGUGCAGGGCCGUGCCACCAUCACGAGGGACAACGGGCAGAGCACAGUGAGGCUGCAGCUGAACAGCCUGAAGGAUGAGGACUCGGCCACGUAUUACUGCGCCAGAGGUUAUUGUAGCACUUAUUGUGGUUAUGAUGCUGAUUGCAUCGACGUCGCUGCUGGAUUUAAUGGGAUCAACAUGAGCCCAGACUGGCUGAUCAGAGCACAGGUGGCAUCCAUGUAA